CUAGGUGUCAGCUACUGCGGCUACACAGAGGCAGACUACAGAGCCUAGCAGGUAUCGGGGCUCAUUUGUGCAAACAAACUAGUAUUCAUGCUCUAGCAUUAUUCUUUGGCAACUGAAACUAUUU
Etheostoma spectabile (orangethroat darter) is the source of this 124-nucleotide long non-coding RNA. RefSeq lists it as uncharacterized. Lineage: Eukaryota; Metazoa; Chordata; Actinopteri; Perciformes; Percidae. The record is from RefSeq and is a predicted model, not a curated record. The transcript is spliced from 3 exons.